Strongylocentrotus purpuratus (purple sea urchin) is the source of this 293-nucleotide long non-coding RNA. RefSeq lists it as uncharacterized. Lineage: Eukaryota; Metazoa; Echinodermata; Echinoidea; Camarodonta; Strongylocentrotidae. The transcript has 3 exons. The record is from RefSeq and is a predicted model, not a curated record.
ACGCCCUACGUUCCGCUAUCAACAUACAGAGAUGUGUUAAACCGCAUCUAUCUCGUCAUUAAAGACGACUUCUGUGGCAUGAAAGAGGAUACCAUACGAGACUACCAGGUAGCCUUUCUUGGUGAGCAGUACUGUGUAUAUUGGGGAAAAGGACCCCUUUCUGUCAGACAUCUGGAAAACAAAGAGGAAGUGUCAAAAGAGGAACUUGAAGAAUGUGCUUUCUUUGACAUGACGACCCAUCGGAUGCCGUUCACUCUUCAGCCACGUGAAAGAAUAGUAUCCGGAGUUCUUGU